GAAAUGCGAUAAGUAAUGCGAAUUGCAGAAUUCAGUGAAUCAUCGAAUCUUUGAACGCACAUUGCGCCCGCCAGCACUCUGGCGGGCAUGCCUGUCCGAGCGUCAUUUCAACCCCUCGCCUGCCCUUCGGGGCGGCGGUGUUGGGGAUCGGCGUACCCGCCGUCCCCUAAAUCUAUCGGCGGCCGCGGUGCUGUCUCCCUUGCGUAGUAGCAACACCUCGCACUGGAGCGCCCUGCGUGCCACGCCGCUAAACCCCCGACUUUUAUGAUCUGAUCUCAAAUCAGGUAGGACUACCCGCUGAACUUAAGC
RNAcentral lists this unclassified non-coding RNA (309 nucleotides) under plant metagenome. Its description in RNAcentral is "partial contains 5.8S ribosomal RNA, internal transcribed spacer 2, and large subunit ribosomal RNA". The stretch from base 1 to 105 matches the Rfam family "5.8S ribosomal RNA", at positions 50 to 154 of the family's 154-position model. The record is from RNAcentral.